CAGGUGGUCAGCCAGAUUAUAGUGCAGCCUGGGCUGAGUAUUAUAGACAACAAGCAGCCUAUUAUGCCCAGACAAGUCCCCAGGGAAUGCCACAGCAUCCUCCAGCACCUCAGUGCAGGUUUGAUCCAGCCAGUAUAGAACUAGCUCUGUAGGGGUGAGGAGGACUGUGCUGUGUAUCAUCCUUGAUUGUGUUCCUUCAAGGAGCAUUGCACUUGCCUUCCCAGACCUUCCACCUUAGGUUCUGCUGCAAAAAGCACCAGUGCUGAAGAUGCUGCAAGCACCAAAUCAUAGCUCAUAAAAUCAGGUCCUGAGAUAGUUACCCAUAAAGAGGAAUCCUUUGAGUGUAUGCCAUUGGUGAGCCGAUGAGCAUGGACCAUAGAAGGGCUCAAUGUAGAAGAAACUACCCGUGUGUAAAAAGAAGAUUGGCUUAAAAUGGCUACUGUGAUGGGAACAGUGUCUUAGGGAGAUGCAGCUUGGACUUGAGGUAAAUUGAAUACUUUACAAACUGUGGUUUAGAGUUUGCUUUAAUGACAUUGUAUGUAAAAGGUCACAUGAUUGCUGUAAUUUUGUAUUCAUUAUGGUUUCCUCAAUAAAUGUACAUUGAUGAAUAUUA
Molecule: small RNA, 613 nt
Filed under: Pongo abelii (Sumatran orangutan)
Lineage: Eukaryota; Metazoa; Chordata; Mammalia; Primates; Hominidae
Description: processed transcript
Source: RNAcentral